GGGGGAUUAGUGGUGUAGGAGCUUUAUCUUUAAACAUAUGCCAAUUUUUUUAUUGUAUACUCUUGAGUCAUUUUAGUGUUUCUAGCAAACUUAUAAUGAUGGUUGUCUAUACUUCUUAUUUAGUUUUUAAUCCUUAAUUUAUGCACUGGUGGAGCCACAUUUGAUAUAUCAAUGCUUUCAUUUAUGCUUUUUGGUAUCAAGGUUCAUAUACUAGGAACACUCAAUGACAUGAUCUUUUUGGUGAGUUGACUUUACUUUUAUGUUUUGGAUC
Molecule: long non-coding RNA, 271 nt
Filed under: Elaeis guineensis (African oil palm)
Lineage: Eukaryota; Viridiplantae; Streptophyta; Magnoliopsida; Arecales; Arecaceae
Description: long non-coding RNA (EGUI_LNC036205)
Source: RNAcentral